Molecule: long non-coding RNA, 465 nt
Organism: Hibiscus syriacus
Lineage: Eukaryota; Viridiplantae; Streptophyta; Magnoliopsida; Malvales; Malvaceae
Exons: 2
Source: RefSeq, a predicted model, not a curated record
GAACGAGUUGUUGAGAUAGUUGAGAUGUAAAGAAAAGGAGAGAAGCUGCCGCCUGGCACCCAAAAUCCUAAACGUAUAAUGAGUGGACCUGAAGGAGGAAAUACCACUUUGUUAACCGAUCCAAAACCUACCCCUUGCCGAGAUCUCGAUGCCUGCUAAAACGUAUGCUAAGGUUGGUGUUUCCAGGCUUCUCUGGGUUUCUUAUUCUUGUUGAAUUUUGUCAAGCUCAAGCAGCCAUUGUUUGUGUUUCUUUUUUCUUUUCCCAAUACGAAAUCUGGUGGAUAUUCCACUGAAUUUUAACUCGGAAUAAGUUUCUAGAUAAGUAAUGAGUCUUUGUACCGGAUGAUUGACGGUAAUGUUCGGCAUAGUUUUUUUUUGUACGGAAGCAAAAGCCAUAACUGUGGCAUUGGAAUACCUUGAUGUUUUUUGUUCUUCAAGUUCAUAGAAAUUAGAAUAGUAUCUUAU